AGGGGGUGCUUGCACCCCGCUGACGAGCGGCGGACGGGUGAGUAAUGCAUAGGAAACUGCCCAGUAGUGGGGGAUAGCCCGGGGAUAACCCGAGAUGUGAAUAGCCGCGUACGCCCUUAACCGGGGAAAGCAGGCGAUCUUCGAACCUGUCAGCGCUAUUGAGUAUGGUAGACGAGUGUCGGAAUUAUCCUAGUUGGUAGCGGUGAAAGGCCUACAUAUAGGAAGGAACGAUCCGUAGCUGGUCUGAGAGGAUGAUCAGCCACAUCGGGACCGAGACACGGACCGAACUCCUACGGUGAGAAAGCAGUGGGGAGCAUAUUGGACAGGAUGAGGGCAUACCCUGAUCCAGUCCACGCCGUAAACGAUGUCUGAAGAAGCCGUUCGGGACUCUGUAAAGCACUUUCAGUGAGCGCAGCAAAAGUUGGUCACUAAGUAGACCGCCUGGGGAGUACGGCCGCAAGGUUAAAACUCAAAUGAAUUGACGGGGGCCCGCACAAGCGGUGGAGCAUGUGGUUUAAUUCGACGCAACGCGAAGAACCUUACCUGGCCUUGACAUGCAGAGAACUUUCCAGAGAUGGAUUGGUGCCUUCGGGAACUCUGACACAGGUGCUGCAUGGCCGUCGUCAGCUCGUGUCGUGAGAUGUUGGGUUAAGUCCCGUAACGAGCGCAACCCCUAUCCCUAGUUGCUAGCAGUUCGGCUGAGAACUCUAGGGAGACUGCCGGUGACAAACCGGAGGAAGGUGGGGAUGACGUCAGGUCAUCAUGGCCCUUACGGCCAGGGCUACACACGUGCUACAAUGGCGCGCACAGAGGGCUGCAAACCCGCGAGGGGGAGCCAAUCUCACAAAACGCGUCGUAGUCCGGAUCGCAGUCUGCAACUCGACUGCGUGAAGUCGGAAUCGCUAGUAAUCGUGAAUCAGAAUGUCACGGUGAAUACGUUCCCGGGCCUUGUACACACCGCCCGUCACACCAUGGGAGUGGAUUGCACCAGAAGUGGUUAGUCUAAC
RNAcentral lists this ribosomal RNA (1007 nucleotides) under Marinobacter sp. Its description in RNAcentral is "bacterial SSU rRNA". It matches the Rfam family "Bacterial small subunit ribosomal RNA", at positions 71 to 1439 of the family's 1533-position model. Lineage: Bacteria; Pseudomonadati; Pseudomonadota; Gammaproteobacteria; Pseudomonadales; Marinobacteraceae. The record is from RNAcentral.